Molecule: ribosomal RNA, 292 nt
Filed under: uncultured bacterium
Lineage: Bacteria
Description: partial 16S ribosomal RNA
Rfam family: Bacterial small subunit ribosomal RNA
Source: RNAcentral
GUGCCAGCAGCCGCGGUAAUACGUAGGGUGCGAGCGUUAAUCGGAAUUACUGGGCGUAAAGCGUACGCAGGCGGCUAUGCAAGACAGGUGUGAAAUCCCCGGGCUUAACCUGGGAACUGCAUUUGUGACUGCAUAGCUAGAGUUUGUCAGAGGGGGGUGGAAUUCCACGUGUAGCAGUGAAAUGCGUAGAGAUGUGGAGGAACACCGAUGGCGAAGGCAGCCCCCUGGGACCUGACUGACGCUCAUGUACGAAAGCGUGGGGAGCAAACAGGAUUAGAAACCCUGGUAGUCC